This 468-nucleotide ribosomal RNA is filed under the name uncultured bacterium. RNAcentral's name for it is "partial 16S ribosomal RNA". It matches the Rfam family "Bacterial small subunit ribosomal RNA", at positions 28 to 507 of the family's 1533-position model. The record is from RNAcentral.
GACGAACGCUGGCGGCGUGCUUAACACAUGCAAGUCGAACGGAAAGGCCCUGCUUUUGUGGGGUGCUCGAGUGGCGAACGGGUGAGUAACACGUGAGUAACCUGCCCUUGACUUUGGGAUAACUUCAGGAAACUGGGGCUAAUACCGGAUAGGAGCUCCUGCUGCAUGGUGGGGGUUGGAAAGUUUCGGCGGUGGGGGAUGGACUCGCGGCUUAUCAGCUUGUUGGUGGGGUAGUGGCUUACCAAGGCUUUGACGGGUAGCCGGCCUGAGAGGGUGACCGGCCACAUUGGGACUGAGAUACGGCCCAGACUCCUACGGGAGGCAGCAGUGGGGAAUAUUGCACAGUGGGCGGAAGCCUGAUGCAGCAACGCCGCGUGCGGGAUGACGGCCUUCGGGUUGUAAACCGCUUUCGCCUGUGACGAAGCGUGAGUGACGGUAAUGGGUAAAGAAGCACCGGCUAACUACGUG